AUUACCUGUAAGUGCUUGAUUACAGAAUAUGUAGUUAUUUUGUUUGCUUCUGUUUUCUAUCCUCAACCUGCCUUUUUCUUUCGUCAUUCUCUCCUUAUACCUUCUAUGAGCCUUUAGCACUCAGUUUGAUUUCAUAAUAGUAGAAGAAAUUGCAAGUUAACUACUUUUCUUUCAUUCUAAUUGUUGGCAAUAAAUAUUGCAUUGGAAUAUUUUAGGUCUGGCUGUAAUGUUUGCUCAAAGUUUGACCUAGAUCAAUGCUGAAUGAUUCAUUCUUGCUUUAUUAAAUACUUAAAUUGCUGAUUUUCUUUUGUUUUAAUCUCGGCAGCUAUAUGCCCAUUUCUGGCUUCCA
RNAcentral lists this unclassified non-coding RNA (349 nucleotides) under Hevea brasiliensis (rubber tree). The record is from RNAcentral. Lineage: Eukaryota; Viridiplantae; Streptophyta; Magnoliopsida; Malpighiales; Euphorbiaceae.